Molecule: ribosomal RNA, 689 nt
Filed under: Firmicutes bacterium BCOT-6
Lineage: Bacteria; Bacillati; Bacillota
Description: bacterial SSU rRNA
Rfam family: Bacterial small subunit ribosomal RNA
Source: RNAcentral
UGCGGUCGAGCGACAGACGAGGAGCUUGCUCCUUUGACGUUAGCGGCGGAGCGGUGAGAAACACGUGGGUAACCUACCUAUAAGACUGGGAUCACUUCGGGAAACCGGAGCUAAUACCGGAUAAUAUUUCGAACCGCAUGGUUCGAUAGUGAAAGAUGGCUUUGCUAUCACUUAUAGAUGGACCUGCGCCGUAUUAGCUAGUUGGUAAGGUAACGGCUUACCAAGGCAACGAUACGUAGCCGACCUGAGAGGGUGAUCGGCCACACUGGAACUGAGACACGGUCCAGACUCCUACGGGAGGCAGCAGUAGGGAAUCUUCCGCAAUGGGCGAAAGCCUGACGGAGCAACGCCGCGUGAGUGAUGAAGGUCUUCGGAUCGUAAAACUCUGUUAUUAGGGAAGAACAAACGUGUAAGUAACUGUGCACGUCUUGACGGUACCUAAUCAGAAAGCCACGGCUAACUACGUGCCAGCAGCCGCGGUAAUACGUAGGUGGCAAGCGUUAUCCGGAAUUAUUGGGCGUAAAGCGCGCGUAGGCGGUUUUUUAAGUCUGAUGUGAAAGCCCACGGCUCAACCGUGGAGGGUCAUUGGAAACUGGAAAACUUGAGUGCAGAAGAGGAAAGUGGAAUUCCAUGUGUAGCGGUGAAAUGCGCAGAGAUAUGGAGGAACACCAGUGGCGAAGGCGACUUUU